UUAAUUAUAUUUAUUUAGAAUUAAUUAAAAAUAAAUCAAUAAAAUAAUAAUAAUAAUAAUAAUAAUAAUAAAUAAAUUUUUUUUUUGGGUGUUACAGUUUCACCUUCGGGUUGUGAAGUAGGAAUUUAAGACAUUGGACGAUCAUGGACAGAUUCCUCACUAUUGACGUUGAUAUCAACACUGACGUUUCGGGACCCAUACUCAUCACAUCCUCAACUCCCGCUGCAUUUGUGUUAACAUUCAUAUUCGUUUGUCUUUGAAUGGUAUGUGCUGUGUCGCUACCAACUCCGUUAGCUCUAUCUCUUCUAAACAUUUCUAACAUUUUGUCGUAAUUUCGAACUCGUUUGUUCUUAAGUUCAGCUGCUUCUAGAUUAGCCUAUUAUAAAAUAUGAUGUUAAUAUUUAAAUUAUAUAAAAUAUUACAAGUAACAUAUGAUUCACUUUUUGAUUUACUUCUAUUAGUUAUUGCUAGACCUCCUCUUCAGGUUCAAAUUUUUUAGUUAAUGGAUUCCAUGCAAAACCACUCAGCCCAUGUUUGAAUACGUCAUACCAUUUUGAGAACUACCUUUUAAAAUUUUUAAUGCGAUUGUGGACUCGCUCUUUUACAAUUGGCAUGUUUGGGUAGGUGCGCUUCAAGUCUGAAAUGAUACAAGCAAUAGCUUAUGUGGUGAAUGUUCCACCUGAUUUGCGGCCCAAGCAAUGUUGAGAGUAAAAUGCUUAUACUUAUGCAUUAUCCAAUGCAUCAGUCCAGUGGAUAAUGUUACCCACUCGAUCUGCAGAAUUAUUCCUACUAUCCAUUUUAUACAACACUGCAACACAGAACCAAAAAAUAUAAAGUUACCAUUAAGAACAAAGAACGCAUCAGUCCAGUAGACAAAGUUAUCAUUGUCA
This 890-nucleotide long non-coding RNA is filed under the name Carica papaya (papaya). Its description in RNAcentral is "long non-coding RNA (CPAP_LNC014883)". Lineage: Eukaryota; Viridiplantae; Streptophyta; Magnoliopsida; Brassicales; Caricaceae. The record is from RNAcentral.